This is a long non-coding RNA of Triticum urartu, 2097 nucleotides long. RefSeq lists it as uncharacterized. The record is from RefSeq and is a predicted model, not a curated record. Lineage: Eukaryota; Viridiplantae; Streptophyta; Magnoliopsida; Poales; Poaceae.
UCUCUCUCUCUCGGCCGGCAACCCUGGUCACGCCGCCCCCAUCGCCAUCGUAGCCGCCGCCUUCUAUGCCGCAAUCAGCCCCGUCUUUCAAACCCAUCCCUCUGGAUCGCAGGCCCUCAUGGCGCCGCCAUCAAUCCCCUCUACUCUGGUGGUGCCUAUUCCGUCUUCCCGUCUUCCGCGAGGGGAUCCAGCGGACGCGCGGGAUGCGGGUGCCCGAUCCUCGCGCGACAUGCAGCGUGGAGUCUCCCAACGUCAUGCCGGAGCCCCAACACUGGAUCCAUUCUUCGAUCUCCCGUGCCGGUGGCCGAGGCAUGGCGAUGUGCCGAUGCAGCUCCUGAUCUCUUAACGGUAUGGGUAUGUUACUACCUCAAUUUCCGUCAGAUUUUUCUUGGAGUUGGUUGACACAGAGGCUAUCCAAUAAUGAUUUGCUCCCUUCCAAAAAGAAAGAAGAAAAAGAAUCCAGUAAGACCUAGGUGUGCCGCGGCCAUUGCGGGUCCGUCACCCGGACAGCGGGCUGUGCCAGUCCCCUCUUCUCAGCCGCUCGGCGUCAUAUGGGAAGGGGCUGAAGAGAAAGGAUGGCGGCGGAGUGUCUCAGGUGGGCGGGAAGAAGUGAGAAAAGGCAAGAGGAACCCAAGACAUGUUGCGGCGACCGGGUGAUGCAGGACUGGCAGAACCCUAGCUGGUGCCUGGUGGAGGCCGCCAUGAGAUCGUGCAGAGGGAGGUGGACAGGAGAAGGCCGACGGGUGUUUCAGUCAGUGCUACAGAAUCACCGCUGGUCUUUGCUCGCUGCCUCCUGCUUAGCAGCGUUACAGGGAACGACAACUCUGAAGCAUGGGGAAAAGCAAUGCCAGGAGCCUUGGUAUCUGGUGCAAGCUGGAGGAGCUGCCUAAAUGCAUGUGGAGAGGUUCAUAUUACUGAGCAGUGUAAUAUUCAGAACAUUUAGUGAUAAAUUAAAAUCUUCUCUUUGGAAUGUGGUUGAGUCGUUAAGAUCUGUUAAUUUCUAGACAUUAUCUCAGUAAUUAGUGUGCAAUUGAGCUUUAUGAUUCCCUCUUGGUGCAAGGAAUUUCUAGACAUGACGACAAUAUCUAUGUACGUCAACGGUUGCUUUGGUUUUACUUUUUUUACGAAGCAUAAGCCAGAAAGUCUUAUGGCAUAUGAAACACGAUUUUGGUUUAUAGUUGAGUUGCUUGAUGGAAGUCGUGGCAAUCUGAAUGAUAAGAAGCAAUUUUUCCCUCUGAUUAUUGUCAUGUAGCUUCAAAAGGUAUGGUUCUGAUGGUUAAAUUUUAUUUAAUCCCUUUUGGGGUCCCUACUGAAAAUUAUCAUCGUGUACGUUUUUGCUUCAUAGAGCUUUGAUAGCAUGCUUCGUUUAACUUUUAGCCCUGCGAUCAUCUAGAGUUGUUGGAGCGCAGUGGGCAAAGUUAUUACUUUUACUAUGCGGAGGUCCCAAAUAAUCUUCUUCCUAUGGUUCACAUGGUUCAUCUCGCGGGCAAGAGGAAUCAUUUAUUGUUUGAGACACAAUCUCUCUCUUAACAUUUUUUUCUUGUUGAUCAUAUUCAUAUGGCUAUAUGUUUUUUCUUGAGCACAUACAGUUGAACAUUAUACUAAUGUGUUUCUCUCAGUCUCCACACAUUACAAAGUUAGUGUCUGAAGUAAUCAUCUACUAUAACAAAGAAAUACCAGUUGAUGGUCGUGGAUUUCUGACUAGAUAUUUCAGCAGGCUGUCUAAUAUAUUUUUUGCCAAGCAGUACCCACAAUUCGGCACAUCCAAAUAUUAACUUCAUCGACUAAGUCUGUUUUGGCGUUCCACAUUUAAUGGAUAUGUCCCCACUUGAAUCUUGCUUCAUGGUCGUUCAAGCGUUCUCAACGACACAUUGCAAGAUUUAGUAUGUUGAUGAAAUGAUGGAUAUAUUCUUUAAAUCAAAUGGUUCUGGUCUCCAUAUGAUCCCACAAAAGUCUGGGCUAUUACUAGAUUGUUGCUUUCACUUAAAACAGCAGGCUCUUAAUUACUCUAAACAAAGUUUGAAAUUAGUCCAGUGGUGACCCAUGUGAAGCACUUAUAUGACAUAGGCUUGUCUUAAACAUAACUUGUUCGUUCAA